Molecule: non-coding RNA, 199 nt
Submitted as: unclassified sequences
Source: Rfam
CGUUGAGUUGACGAACUCAGCAUGGGAGUGACUGAAUAAACUUACUGGCAUUUUGCUAGUUAAGGUGAUGAGACAGAGGUGGUGCUCGCUGUUGGGAACAACAGAACUACAAACCAAGUAGGUCUCAUGCAAAGACGUAUUUCUAAACUGUAGAAAUGCCCGUCUUUUGUAGGUACACAGGAAUCCUACCUCCCACCUC